This is a small nucleolar RNA of Grammomys surdaster, 145 nucleotides long. RefSeq annotates it as small nucleolar RNA SNORA48. The record is from RefSeq and is a predicted model, not a curated record. The transcript has a single exon. NCBI's taxonomy places the organism in Eukaryota, Metazoa, Chordata, Mammalia, Rodentia, Muridae.
UGCCGCCUUACAAUGGACAAAGAAACACCUUGUUGUUGGUGUUGUUCUUACAUCAGUUAAGGGCAGAGCGGACAGCAGUCUUUUGUUAAUCCUAGCUUGAUGCCUGGCUUGGUGGCCAAAGCUGUUUUAUGCCUAAGACGCAUAA